This 253-nucleotide ribosomal RNA is filed under the name uncultured bacterium. RNAcentral describes it as "partial 16S ribosomal RNA". It matches the Rfam family "Bacterial small subunit ribosomal RNA", at positions 524 to 776 of the family's 1533-position model. The record is from RNAcentral.
UACGUAGGGGGCAAGCGUUGUCCGGAUUUAUUGGGCGUAAAGAGCGCGUAGGCGGCCAAGCAGGUCCGCUGUGAAAACUCGAGGCUCAACCUCGAGAGGUCGGUGGAAACCGUUUGGCUAGAGUCCGGAAGAGGAGAGUGGAAUUCCCGGUGUAGCGGUGAAAUGCGUAGAUAUCUGGAGGAACACCGGUGGCGAAGGCGGCAUCCUGGACCGACACUGACACUGAGGAGCGAAAGCCAGGGGAGCAAACGGG